This 492-nucleotide ribosomal RNA is filed under the name uncultured bacterium. Its description in RNAcentral is "partial 16S ribosomal RNA". It matches the Rfam family "Bacterial small subunit ribosomal RNA", at positions 29 to 507 of the family's 1533-position model. The record is from RNAcentral.
AGUGAACGCUGGCGGUAGGCCUAACACAUGCAAGUCGAACGGCAGCACAGUAAGAGCUUGCUCUUACGGGUGGCGAGUGGCGGACGGGUGAGGAAUACAUCGGAAUCUACUUUUUCGUGGGGGAUAACGUAGGGAAACUUACGCUAAUACCGCAUACGACCUACGGGUGAAAGCAGGGGAUCUUCGGACCUUGCGCGAUUGAAUGAGCCGAUGUCGGAUUAGCUAGUUGGCGGGGUAAAGGCCCACCAAGGCGACGAUCCGUGGCUGGUCUGAGAGGAUGAUCAGCCACACUGGAACUGAGACACGGUCCAGACUCCUACGGGAGGCAGCAGUGGGGAAUAUUGGACAAUGGGCGCAAGCCUUAUCCAGCCAUACCGCGUGGGUGAAGAAGGCCUUCGGGUUGUAAAGCCCUCUUGUUGGGAAAGAAAAGCAGCAGGUUAAUACCCCGCUGUUCUGACGGUACCCAAAGAAUAAGCACCGGCUAACUUCGUG